UAGGGAAUCUUCCGCAAUGGACGCAAGUCUGACGGAGCAACGCCGCGUGAGUGAAGAAGGAUUUCGGUUCGUAAAACUCUGUUGUUAGAGAAGAACAGCGCAUAGAGUAACUGUUAUGCGUGUGACGGUAUCUAACCAGAAAGCCACGGCUAACUACGUGCCAGCAGCUGCGGUAAUACGUAGGUGGCAAGCGUUGUCCGGAUUUAUUGGGCGUAAAGCGAGCGCAGGCGGUCAAUUAAGUCUGAUGUGAAAGCCCCCGGCUCAACCGGGGAGGGUCAUUGGAAACUGGUUGACUUGAGUGCAGAAGAGGAGAGUGGAAUUCCAUGUGUAGCGGUGAAAUGCGUAGAUAUAUGGAGGAACACCAGUGGCGAAGGCGACUCUCUGGUCUGUAACUGACGCUGAGGCUCGAAAGCGUGGGUAGCAAACAGG
This 429-nucleotide ribosomal RNA is filed under the name Bacteroidota bacterium. RNAcentral describes it as "Bacteroidetes bacterium partial 16S ribosomal RNA". It matches the Rfam family "Bacterial small subunit ribosomal RNA", at positions 355 to 776 of the family's 1533-position model. The record is from RNAcentral. Lineage: Bacteria; Pseudomonadati; Bacteroidota.